GUGAGGAAUAUUGGACAAUGGGCGCAAGCCUGAUCCAGCCAUGCCGCGUGCAGGAAGACGCAUCUAUGGUGUGUAAACUGCUUUUGUACGGGAAGAAACACUCCCUCGUGAGGGAGCUUGACGGUACCGUAAGAAUAAGGAUCGGCUAACUCCGUGCCAGCAGCCGCGGUAAUACGGAGGAUCCAAGCGUUAUCCGGAAUCAUUGGGUUUAAAGGGUCCGUAGGCGGUUUAAUAAGUCAGUGGUGAAAGCCCAUCGCUCAACGAUGGAACGGCCAUUGAUACUGUUAGACUUGAAGUACAAGGAAGUAACUAGAAUAUGUAGUGUAGCGGUGAAAUGCUUAGAUAUUACAUGGAAUACCAAUUGCGAAGGCAGGUUACUACUUGUGGAUUGACGCUGAUGGACGAAAGCGUGGGGAGCGAACAGGAUUAGAAACCCUGGUAGUCC
This 445-nucleotide ribosomal RNA is filed under the name uncultured bacterium. Its description in RNAcentral is "partial 16S ribosomal RNA". It matches the Rfam family "Bacterial small subunit ribosomal RNA", at positions 354 to 796 of the family's 1533-position model. The record is from RNAcentral.